AAUAGGUUUUUUUAGUCCUCUAAACUAAUUUUGAGUUUUUUUUCACACAUAUUG
Molecule: transfer RNA, 54 nt
Filed under: Dirofilaria immitis (dog heartworm nematode)
Lineage: Eukaryota; Metazoa; Nematoda; Chromadorea; Rhabditida; Onchocercidae
Description: transfer RNA-Ser(AGN)
Source: RNAcentral